CGCCGCCGUCGCCAGACCCCGAGCCCGGUUCCUUCGCCCCGCCCACCGCGCCGGCACCACCAAUCAAGUCUCAGCACUGACGAGUAAAAAGCUGACCGCAGAACGCACCGUACGCAAGCCGCCAGGAAACGACUUUCUUCUCUACAUGGCCCACGCCGAUUGGCCGGGGCAGGCGCUGACAGGCUGUCACGCCCUCUCGUUGGCCAAUAGGAUCGCAGUAGGAAAUAAUGGUGGAACCAUGCCCGGCCGCGCGAGAGCGCCCUGCCCAAGCGACAUCUCUGAUUGGUCACGCGCCCGUUCCUACAAGGCCCACAAUGCCUCGCAGAGGUCACUCCUGACGCGCUGCCGUCACUACGGGUCGCGAGGCGUCACGGCGCGGUAGGACUACAUUACCCACAGUCCCCCGCGCCGAACUGCGCAAGGAGCCGCGGGGCAGCCCUACCUGAGGAAGGGGCGGGAGGGCCAAGCCAUUUGUGUCGGGGGAGUGAUGCGCGCAGGCCGGGCGCAUGCUGCCCCUCAGCUAGUCUGGCGCUCGGCAUCCAUCGCUGUGUGCAAAAGCAAGCCGUACCAACCUCGGAUCACUGCUAUUUUAUUACACGAGGUUUCAGCAGGACGUUCCGUGUGCUUAAGUGACGCCCGAUCUCAGUUCCGUUACGUUCACAGGUCACCCCACAAAAGCCGCUGCGCUUAACAACCCUCUCAGAAGCAAAUUCUUCCCGCUACAGUGGGCGCCCCGCCCAGCAGCGCUCCUCCCGGCCAGGCAGAGGCACGCGGCGCCACGUGCGGCAGCGAAGGUGCGCAUGCGCACAAGGCGGGGCUGACGAGAGGGGGGGCGGGAAUAAAGGCACGUGCUGCGGGGCGGUUUUCAUUAGUUUUUGUAAAGGGGGAAGCGUGCGCGCGUGGUUUGUUUGGUGCUGUUGCAGAGGGGCGGUUGUGGUCACGAGCGAGUGGUGGUGCGUGCCUGUAGGAGGUCUUGGUGCAGGCGAAGCGCUGUGUCUGUGCCUUCUGAGGUCCUGCCAGCGUCUGCCUUUGUGCCUUUCCUACAUGGGGCUGCACGGGCCUUCCCUUCCAAGAGAGAAUAAAUCUGUCUUUUUCACAACUGGGUCAUUUGGAGCCAAACAGCGUUGUUCAAGAAUUCAAUUAAAUUAUUAAUUUAGAGUAAUCAGGUAAUUAUAAAUAUAAGUUAUUAAACAGUGCUGGGGAAACUUACUUUGCCAUGUUCCUUUCAUUUGAAGUGGGGUACUCUGCAGUAUUUGUGAAGACAUUUUGAUUCUGGCCUUUUUUCACUAUUCCUGAGGCUUAGCAGAGAGAUUCUAGUUGUUAAUUCUGCUUUGAAGCACAGACAGGUAGGCUGCAAUGUCAGAUUUCAUUUUACCCUCUGAGUAUGUCACUGAACAACUCAGCAUCCCUGAAUUAUUCACAACCCGGAGUACCAGCAUGUGUCAAAAUCAGUAAUCAUCAGGAAAGCAAGAAAGAAAUCUGGGCUGCUGUUGGCAGUUUUAUACUGACAAGAGAGUCUGAGUUUGAAAAAUAAGACAUUCUUGCUGCUUAAUGAUCAGAACAAUUCAACCAAGACUUGAGACAGUGACUUGGCCAUCUAGGCAUUUCCAGAUUCC
Phasianus colchicus (ring-necked pheasant) is the source of this 1616-nucleotide long non-coding RNA. Lineage: Eukaryota; Metazoa; Chordata; Aves; Galliformes; Phasianidae. The record is from Ensembl.